GCAGCCGCGGUAAUACGGAAGAUGCGAGCGUUAUCCGGAUUUAUUGGGUUUAAAGGGAGCGUAGGCGGGCUGUUAAGUCAGCGGUCAAAUGUCAGGGCCCAACCUUGGCAUGCCGUUGAUACUGGCGGCCUUGAGUUCACACAAGGAAGGUGGAAUUCGUCGUGUAGCGGUGAAAUGCUUAGAUAUGACGAAGAACUCCGAUUGCGAAGGCAGCCUUCUGGGGUGUUACUGACGCUGAGGCUCGAAAGUGCGGGAAUCAAACAGGAUUAGAUACCCC
This 277-nucleotide ribosomal RNA is filed under the name uncultured Prevotellaceae bacterium. RNAcentral's name for it is "partial 16S ribosomal RNA". It matches the Rfam family "Bacterial small subunit ribosomal RNA", at positions 511 to 788 of the family's 1533-position model. The record is from RNAcentral. Lineage: Bacteria; Pseudomonadati; Bacteroidota; Bacteroidia; Bacteroidales; Prevotellaceae.